GCAUUGAUGAUUCAGUACUAGAAUUCUCGACUCCUAUGUCGGAGAUCCGGGUUCAAUUCCUGGCCAAGGCA
RNAcentral lists this transfer RNA (71 nucleotides) under Loxodonta africana (African savanna elephant). It matches the Rfam family "tRNA". From Rfam's summary of the family: Transfer RNA (tRNA) molecules are approximately 80 nucleotides in length. Their secondary structure includes four short double-helical elements and three loops (D, anti-codon, and T loops). The record is from Rfam by way of RNAcentral. Lineage: Eukaryota; Metazoa; Chordata; Mammalia; Proboscidea; Elephantidae.